GGCCGCCUGGACGCCUGCCCGGCGGGGUGGGUGUGCGGGAGGCAGGGGUCCCGCCUCGGGGACAGGCGUCUGCACUCUCCGUCCGCGUGUGAAUCGCUAGAGGUUACCCCCCCGCGCCGGUGUCCUUCAGUCCCGGGCUCCGCCCACCGCGCUGGGCCGCGCUGUCGGCCUGCGCCUCCUGUCGCCUGCCAGGUGAGGCUCAGGCCUGACAGGUGGCUUCCUGCAGGCGGGCGGAGCGGCGCGGGCGGCCGGGACCCAGGGUCACGACCUUGCUUGUUUGCUUCGCCAGAUAGUUCCAGGCACUUUUUUUCCUGGUUCAGAGCAGUUGAUUCUGCUUAGGGAGUAGUUAGGUUGCCAGAUUUACUUUCUUUUGGCAUCUUGUGCACGUUCUUGAUUACUUGGCUUGGAAAGAGCUGGUCAGAGAUUACCUGAAGACUCGUGACUUUCUUGGCCUGAAAAAAAUAUUUUGUGUGUAGGAAGGAAAUCGCAACGGUAUCAGAAUGAUUCGUUCGCCUAAAUACAUAGGUAAGGAGGCUUUCAGGAGAUGCAGGCGCUUGCAAACGUUUGUAUCUUUCCUUAAGGGAAAACGAAACGUGAAAUUUACCGAGUCGUAGGAAACUUAUUAGUGCUGAGAACUUAUUUUUGCAUUCCUCCCUUCCUUUUGUGAACAGAAGGUAAUUGGACAGAUUUGAAGGAAUAGUUACUCCCAUGCAUUGGGAAAUUAUUGCCUAAAUCAGUACCUGUUUUGCAAAAUAAUGGGGGAAAACCUGAGACGUGCUUUUUAAUAUUGUUUCUUAGUGAGUAUCGUGCCUUGCGUUCUGAAUCUAAGUAGUAUUAUGAAUUCUCAUUUCGUAAGUGAAUUUUAUGUUUAGUUUGGUGAUGAAGGUGUGUAUCAUUUGGUAGCAGAAGGGGUCUACUUGGUGUUGACAUCAUCUCAGGACAUGAUACUUUGAAAAACUAUUCAGUCAAGUUUAUGCCUUUUAUUUCAAAUUGUAGGACUGCGCUGUCCAGUAUAGCCACUAGCCGGAAAAAAACAAAAACAAAAAACCUGUUGCCCUGGAGUCCAUUCCGACUCAUAGUGACCCUAUAGGACAGACUAGAACUGCCCCCAUAAGGUUUCCACGGAGCAGCUAGUGAAUUCGAACUGCCGACCUUUUGAAAAAGCAGCUCAGCUAAGAUGAAUUACUUUAUUUGGAGGAAAGCAGGAUGAGAUCUGAAUAAGUACAGGUGCCGUCGAGUCGGUUCCAACUCAUAGCGCCCCUAUGCACAACAGAGCGAAACACUGCCCGGUCCUGCGCCAUCCUUACAAUCGUUGUUAUGCUUGAGCUCAUUGUUGCAACCACUGUGUCAGUCCGCCUCGUUGAGGGUCUGCCUCUUGUCCGCUGACCCUGUACUCUGCCAAGCAUGAUGUCCUUCUCCAGGGACUGAUCCCUCCUGACAACAUGUCCAAAGUGUGUAAGAUGCAGUCUCGCCAUCCUUACUUCUAAUGAGCAUUCUGGUUGUACUUCUUCUAAGACAGAUUUGUUCAUUCUUUUGGCAGUCCAUGGUAUAUUCAAUAUUCUUUGCCAAGACCACAGUUCAAAGGCGUCAGCUCUUCUUCAGUCUUCCUUAUUCAUUGUCCAGCUUUCACGUGCAUAUGAUGCAAUUGAAAAUACCAUGGCUUGGGUCAGGUGCACCUGAGUCUUCAGGGUGACAUCUUUGCUCUUCAACACUUUGAAGACGUCCUUUGCAGCAGAUUUGCCCAAUGCAGUGUGUCUUUUGAUUUCUUGACUGCUGCUUCCAUGGCUGUUGAUUAUGGAACCAAGUAAAAUGAAAUCCUUGACAACUUCAGUCUUUUCUCCGUUUAUCUUGAUGUUGCUCAUUGGUCUAGUUGUAAGGAUUUUUGUUUUCUUUAUGUUGAUGUAUAAUCCAUACUGAAGGCUGUGGUCUUUGAUCUUCGUUAGUAAGUGCUUCAAGUGCUCUUCACUUUCAGCAAGCAAGGUUGUGUCAUCUGCAUAACGCAGGUUGUUAAUGAGUCUUCCUCCAAUCCUGAUGCCCCAUUCUUCUUCAUAUAGUCCAGCUUCUCGGAUUAUUUGUUCAGCAUACAGAUUGAAUAGGUAUGGUGAAAGAAUACAACC
This is a long non-coding RNA of Loxodonta africana (African savanna elephant), 2117 nucleotides long. RefSeq lists it as uncharacterized. The record is from RefSeq and is a predicted model, not a curated record. The transcript has 3 exons. Lineage: Eukaryota; Metazoa; Chordata; Mammalia; Proboscidea; Elephantidae.